CUCUGGGAGAGUUUAUAGUCCUGACACUUGAACACUGGAUGACUGACAGCUGUCCUUCAUCACAACACAACACACACAAAUCCUCCUCCUCAUCACAAACAUGACUCUGAUCUGCGUCCUCAUCUGGACUCUCCUCUGCUGCUGCUUCACAGAGUCCAGAGGACAGGUCACAGUGACUCAGCCUGCAGCAGUGAGCUCUGCUCUGGGGGGCUCUGUCACCAUCUCAUGCAGGACCAGUCAGGAUGUCUACAGUGAUAGUGAUGGUGAUCACUAUUUAGCCUGGUACCAACAGAAAGAUGGAGAAACUCCUAAACUCCUCAUUUACUUUGCUACCACUCGAGAAUCAGGGAUUCCAGAUCGUUUUUCAGGCAGUGGAUCAGGCUCUUCCUUCACUCUGACCAUCAGUGGAGUCCAGGCUGAAGAUGCAGCAGUUUACUACUGUCAGAGUUAUCAUGAGAUCAACAGUCAGUAUGUGUACACGUUCGGUGGAGGAACCAGACUGGAUGUUGGAAGUGAUGCACGUCCCACCCUGACGGUGCUGCCCCCCUCCCAUGAGGAGCUGCAGCAGGGUACCACGGCCACGCUCAUGUGCCUGGCCAACAAGGGCUUCCCCUCAGGCUGGAGUCUGGCCUGGAAGGUGGACGGCAGCAGCAGCAUCAGCGGGGAGGAGAGCAGGAGCCCUGCGGUGCUGGAGAGGGACGCUCUCUACAGCUGGAGCAGCACCCUGAGGAUCACUGCAGACCAGUGGAGGAAGCUGGGCUCUGUGACCUGUGAGGCCACCCAGGGCUCCCAGACUCCAGUCACAGAGACUCUGAGGAGAGACCAGUGUACCCAGUUCUGAUCUGACUCACUGGGACUCUGCUACUGGUUUUACUCUCAUGGUGAUUUUUCUUCUCAGUCUGUGAACAAAAAUGUCUUUCUGUCUCUGUCUUUGAUUUAAUGAUUCAUCACAAGCUUUUCUUCCCUCUUGUAUGUUUGAUGUUUAAAAUGGCAAAAAUAAUAAAAUUUGAAUUCCA
Non-coding RNA from Cheilinus undulatus (humphead wrasse), 1016 nucleotides. NCBI's taxonomy places the organism in Eukaryota, Metazoa, Chordata, Actinopteri, Labriformes, Labridae. The record is from the annotation of a RefSeq genome assembly.